RNAcentral lists this ribosomal RNA (378 nucleotides) under uncultured bacterium. RNAcentral's name for it is "bacterial SSU rRNA". It matches the Rfam family "Bacterial small subunit ribosomal RNA", at positions 29 to 433 of the family's 1533-position model. The record is from RNAcentral.
AACGAACGCUGGCGGCAUGCCUAACACAUGCAAGUCGAACGAGACCUUCGGGUCUAGUGGCGCACGGGUGCGUAACGCGUGGGAAUCUGCCCCUUGGUUCGGAAUAACAGCGAGAAAUUGCUGCUAAUACCGGAUAAUGACGUAAGUCCAAAGAUUUAUCGCCAAGGGAUGAGCCCGCGUAGGAUUAGCUAGUUGGUGUGGUAAAGGCGCACCAAAGGCGACGAUCCUUAGCUGGUCUGAGAGGAUGAUCAGCCACACUGGGACUGAGACACGGCCCAGACUCCUACGGGAGGCAGCAGUGGGGAAUAUUGGACAAUGGGCGAAAGCCUGAUCCAGCAAUGCCGCGUGAGUGAUGAAGGCCUUAGGGUUGUAAAGCUC